This is a long non-coding RNA of Myxocyprinus asiaticus (Chinese sucker), 3686 nucleotides long. RefSeq lists it as uncharacterized. The record is from RefSeq and is a predicted model, not a curated record. Lineage: Eukaryota; Metazoa; Chordata; Actinopteri; Cypriniformes; Catostomidae. The transcript is spliced from 3 exons.
GGUUGUGAAAGUUGCGCACUCUCCUUCUCUAUUGAAUGACGUUAGUUUCGUGCCUCUAUGUCCUCCAACAAAAAGCUAUUACAAAAAGAAGGUUUAUAUUGGACAUGCAGUUUACACACCAAGCUACUAAAAAAAAUAAAUAAAUAAAUAAAAAAAUAAAAAAGGCACUUUCUCCACGGUCCCUUACUUACCGCUACGACAAGAAGAAUUUGCAGGCCAGUUCUCAUAAUAUCGAGUGAAAAUAAUGAGAACAAGCUUGUGGGAUAUUAUUAGAUUUCCACGUUUUACAAUAAUACUCUUUUGGAAAGUAUGUGCUAAGCCGUUUAAGAGUUAUUGCCGUUUAUCGCUGAAUUUGUCUGGAAUAUCGAAAACAAAACUAUCUUAACCUCGCUACAUCAGCCUACGUCACAGAAUGUCUUAAGUUCAGUGAAUGGACUGGGCGGACUGUGGAUGUUUUUACGGAUUGUAUUUUUUUCUGUUCCUGUCACUUCAGUCAUUGGCACUUCGGAAACGAUAGGAGACCAGGACGCAUCUUUUGAGACAUUCUUGGCCCAAGUGUAAAUGUGGAAGGAACGUGCUUUAAAAAGGCAGUGUGCAUGUGUAUGGGUGAAGCCUCAGGAAACCCAUGAAUAUGUGGGAUAGGAAAGUGAAGAGAUUGGACAGGAAAUGACAGGGGAGAAGAGUGGGAAUGGGAUCGGGACCUCACGAGAUGGGAUUCUAACUCUGGUUACCUGUGAUGCAUCAGCAUUAAAUGUUGGAGCACUGCCCAUUAGGCUACGGCUCUGACUUUAUGAACAUUUGUAAAUAACUUUGAUACCCUGUAUCGCCUUUCUGAUGGGAGCUGCUUGAAUUGCUGCUUCCCAAUGCUUUGGUCUCCUCUUGCGUGUUCUCUAGAUUUCAUUGGCUUAUUGGUGGUCUCUCGCUCAUCUGGACAGUGUGCACACCUGAUUAAUGCACACCUAAUUGGAAACUGUUGUAGCAUCUAUGAGUAGUUAAGUAGUCUCAGAAGUGUGCAUACAUAACCAUUGUCAAUGGGCACCUGCUGUGAUGUGAAACUUCUAGUUGCCAACAUAAAACUUUAAAGGCUACAAGCCGUGUAAUGUGCACCAGGCUUAAAUGAAGAUAGAUUUUACAUUUUCAAUUAACUAUUCCUAUAAUGCUUUAUAGCUCUCAAAUUCCAUUCGCUCUUUCUGCAUAUUCAUUGUAUGGAAAGAGCUGGAGUCAACAGGCUGAGAGUCAUGGUUUCACAUAUUAACUCUAAUUUGCUUGUUUGACACCAGUAUUAGCUGCUUAUUUGUCUCCCAACUUUCAUACAACAAACUUAAAACCAAAAUUUCAUUUUAUAGCCCCAUGGGUUAUUUGUACUUUCCAGACCUCUCAUUUUUUUUUAAUUCUGUCUUAUUCAGUCACCCGCAUGUCAUUCAAUAUUUAUUUAUUCUAUGGAAAACAAAAGGGUAAUUUUGAAGAAUCUUCAAGAAGCUCUUUUCCAAACAGUGACUGUUCAUACUGACUAUGUUACUGUCAAGCUUCAACAAGACAAUAAAAUUGCCAUAAAAAUCUCAUAACCAUUGCACUUUAUUCCAAGUAUUAUGAAGGUGUAUCAUACUGUAGCUUUUGUUUGAAACAGACCCAUAUUUAAAUUGUUAUCCACUGAUUUAUUUGUUAUUCAUUCUUCUCUGCUGCAGCUCUCAAAUAAAAAAAUUACGCCUAAUGGCACUGGUAUUACAUAGGGUUGUCACGAUACCAGAAUUAUAUGUUAUGAUACUAUGUCACCUAAAGUAUCACAGUACCACACAUUUUGUUUCUUAUUGCAGGGCAGUGAGUAUUCUGUAUUUUCUGUAAUAAUUUCAAAUCUACCAAAUUAAUGUCAUGGUUGUAAAAAUGGUUAGAUAAAUUUACAUUUAUUUUAAAGUGAUCAUCAAUUUAUUUCCAUAUUUUGGUAAUACUUUACAGUGAGGUUUAUUUGUUGACAUUAGUUAUAGCCUUAGGUAUUAUGAACUAACAAUGAACAAUAUACACUGCAUGGCCAAAAAAAAAAAAAAAAAGAGUCACCGUUUGGAUGUUUGGCAGUGUUAUGAUCUGGGGUUGCUUCAAUUGGUCAGGUCUAGGCUCAGCAACGUUAUGUGGCAAUAAAAUGAAGUCAGUUGACUACCUGAAAUGUACUAAAUGACCAGGUUAUCCCAUCAAUGGAUUUUUUCUUCCCUGAUGGCAUGGGCAUAUUCCAGAAUGACAAUGCCAAGAUUCAUUGGGCUCAAAUUGUGAAAGAGUGGUUCAGGGAGCAUGAGGAAUCAUUUUCACAAAUGAAUUGGCCACCACAGAGUCCUGACCUUAACCCCAUUGAAAGUCUUUGGGAUGUGCUGGAGAAGACUUUAUGGAAUGGUUCAACUCUCCCGUCAUCAAAACAAGAUUUCGGCCAAAAAUGAAUGCAACUCUGGACAGAAAUAAAUGUUGUGACUUUGCAUAAGAUUGUCCCAACAAUGCCAUGACAAAUGUGCACCGUAAUUAAAGCUAAAGGCGGUCCAAUUAAAUAUUAGAGUAUGCAAUUUUUUUUUUUUUUUUGACUAGGCAAUGUGUUAUUACAACAUUUAUUAAUCUUAGUUAAUGUUAGUUAAUAAAAAUACAAUUGUUCAUUGUUAGUUUGUUAGUUCAUAAUGCAUUAACUUUUAAUUAAAAAAAUAUAUUGGUAUAUGCAGAAAUGAACAUCAACCCAGAAUGUUGUAAAAGUAUUGUUCAUUGUUCAUUCAUGUUAACUAAUGUUGUAUACUAAUGUUAAUAUUGUUACUAAUCUCAUUGUUACCGAUUAGUAGGCCCAGAUGGAAUCUGCAGACUUUUCUUGCACUUUCUGCGCCGAUUUUUCUGAAAAAUCUGUGGAAUUCUGUGGAAGGGAUGUAAACAUUGUAAAAAUGUGUCAUAUUAAGCUGAGAAUACUACACUGAUAUUGGAAAGCAUCACAUGCAAUGUUUGGGUAAUGCAUUGAACUUUUGUGAAUGACGGUUGUUACAAUUCUGCUGAAAUUUGCGCAUGCAGAUUCUGUCUGGGCCUACCGAUUAGCCUGCUACCUUAGUUUUUGAUCAGGCAUUACAAAUGGGGACCCCCCUGGGGACACUGGUACUUUUUUCCUUACACUUCAAGCACUGAUGGCCAUGUAUGCAAUCGGCAUUAGCACCAAAAUGCAGAGUAGGGCUGUCAGCUGUUUACCAUAAAUAUUUUCAAAAUUCAAAUAAUAUACUAAUUUUAAAGUCAGAUGAUUUUUUUAAAUUGACAUUUCUAUCCUGGCUGUUAAAAAAAAGAGCAUUUCAUUUUCAUCUAAUGUGCAUAAAAUAAAUACGUUUUAGUCGGUCCAUAUUCUCAAAUGUUAAGUCAAAAGUAAAAUGAGGGGGGGUGGAACUCUUCAAUAGACAGUUCACAUGUUGAUACAUUUGCACUGAUUCCUACUACCCCUACUCAAACUUCAUAAUAACAGUGAAAUAUCACAUAGUUUUUUAUUCAGUACAGUUGUAUGUAGAGUAGCAAUAUUCACAGAUAGCAGUGGUAUUCGGCUGAAUUCUGUGGCGAAGCGGCUCAGACUAUGAGCCCAGUCCAGGGGCUGUUCAAACAGAUGGAACACUGUAUUUUCAUUAUUCGGAUACAACAAGUGAAGUUGUGAAUAAGCGUAACUUGCUUUGUAUUUACAUUUUUAAAAUGUA